UCAGACGAUGCGUCAUGCAUAUCAAUAAGCGGAGGAAAAGAAACUAACAAGGAUUCCCCUAGUAACGGCGAGUGAAGCGGGAAGAGCUCAAAUUUGAAAUCUUAAAGGGUUUCCCUUUACGAAUUGUAGUUUAAAGAAGUGUUUUCUGUUGAGGUUUUGGUAAAAGUUCUUUGGAAUAGGACAUCAUAGAGGGUGAGAAUCCCGUAUUUGACCUUUACUUUCAACUUUGUGAUACACUUUCAAAGAGUCGGAUUGUUUGGGAAUGCAGUCCAAAAUGGGUGGUAAAUUUCAUCUAAAGCUAAAUAUUGGCGAGAGACCAAUAGCGAACAAGUACCGUGAGGGAAAGAUGAAAAGAACUUUGAAAAGAGAGUUAAACAGUACGUGAAAUUGUCAAAAGGGAAGCGUUUGACACCAGUGUUGUUUUUCUGAAAAUCAAUUAAAGAACUGUUUAUGCUAAGCUGUUUAGACUUUAUCAGCUAUCUGUUUAGUUUUAGGCUUUUCUUUAAUGCACUUUUCAGUUAACAAGUCAACAUCAAUUUCUUUUGCUGUAAAAAAGCUUGAGGAAGGUGGCUUGAGAUUCGUCUUAAGUGUUUAUAGCCUCUUGCCUAUGCAGUCGGAGAGAUUGAGGUCUGCAGCGUAGAUCCUUCGGGGCUAAAUGCAUUUGUGCUAAGUUAUAGCAUUUUAUAGACAACUUGUUGACUAUGAUUUGUCUUGUAGCUUACUCGCUUAUGUUAUUUUACCUACGCUUAGGAUGUUGACACACGCGCGUGCUCG
This 774-nucleotide ribosomal RNA is filed under the name uncultured Neocallimastigales. Its description in RNAcentral is "partial large subunit ribosomal RNA". It matches the Rfam family "Eukaryotic large subunit ribosomal RNA", at positions 18 to 643 of the family's 3401-position model. The record is from RNAcentral. Lineage: Eukaryota; Fungi; Neocallimastigomycota; Neocallimastigomycetes; Neocallimastigales.